Buteo japonicus is the source of this 141-nucleotide small nuclear RNA. Its record names the gene U4. It matches the Rfam family "U4 spliceosomal RNA". From Rfam's summary of the family: U4 small nuclear RNA (U4 snRNA) is a component of the major U2-dependent spliceosome. The structure of U4 snRNA from yeast and human has been reported. Lineage: Eukaryota; Metazoa; Chordata; Aves; Accipitriformes; Accipitridae. The record is from Ensembl.
AGCUUUGCGCAGUGGCAGUAUCGUAGCCAAUGAGGUUAAUCCGAGGCGCGAUUAUUGCUAGUUGAAAACUUUUCCCAAUACCCCGCCAUGACGACUUGAAAUAUAGUCGGCAUUGGCAAUUUUUGAGAGCCUCUACGGAGG